UGGCCAUAUAAUAUUGAAACACCAGUUUUUGAACAAUCACUGAAGUUAAGCAACAUUGAGCCUGGUCAGUACUAAGAUGGGUGACUCCUUAGGAAUACCAAGUGCU
Molecule: non-coding RNA, 106 nt
Organism: Acanthosepion pharaonis
Lineage: Eukaryota; Metazoa; Mollusca; Cephalopoda; Sepiida; Sepiidae
Source: the annotation of a GenBank genome assembly